This 483-nucleotide ribosomal RNA is filed under the name uncultured bacterium. Its description in RNAcentral is "partial 16S ribosomal RNA". It matches the Rfam family "Bacterial small subunit ribosomal RNA", at positions 28 to 523 of the family's 1533-position model. The record is from RNAcentral.
GACGAACGCUGGCGGCGUGCUUUACACAUGCAAGUCGAACGGUGAAGGUGGAGCUUGCUCCGCCGGAUCAGUGGCGAACGGGAGAGUAACACGUGGGCAACCUGCCCCUAACUUUGGGAUAACUACUCGAAAGAGUAGCUAAUACCGGAUAUGAAGUCUGUAGGCAUCUACGGACUUGGAAAGUUUUUCGGUGAGGGAGGGGCCCGCGGCCUAUCAGCUUGGUGGUGAGGUAGUGGCUCACCAAGGCGACGACGGGUAGCCGGCCUGAGAGGGCGACGGGCCACACUGGGACUGAGACACGGCCCAGACUCCUACGGGAGGCAGCAGUGGGGAAUAUUGCGCAAUGGGCGAAAGCCUGACGCAGCAACGCCGCGUGCGGGAUGAAGGCCUUCGGGUUGUAAACCGCUUUCAGCAGGGAAGAAGCGAAAGUGACGGUACCUGCAGAAGAAGCACCGGCUAACUACGUGCCAGCAGCCGCCGUAA